GGGGAUUUAGCUCAGCAGCAUGAGCGUCUGCCUUGCAAGCACACGGCUGUGAGUUCAAUCCCUG
RNAcentral lists this transfer RNA (64 nucleotides) under Cavia porcellus (domestic guinea pig). It matches the Rfam family "tRNA". Rfam says of the family: Transfer RNA (tRNA) molecules are approximately 80 nucleotides in length. Their secondary structure includes four short double-helical elements and three loops (D, anti-codon, and T loops). The record is from Rfam by way of RNAcentral. Lineage: Eukaryota; Metazoa; Chordata; Mammalia; Rodentia; Caviidae.